AGUGAUACUUCUACAGUAGUUAAAUGUCAGUGUAGUUUGCACAUCAUUACAAAAAUGAUUUUUCAAAAUUCUCCAUUAUCAUAUUCAGAAAUAUUGGUGGUUUUGGCCACUAGAGCAGAACCAACGUGGCUGAAAUGUGGGGUUCCCAGGAUCCCCAAGAUAAUAAAAAGAGAUCUAGGAAACAUAGUCUAAGAAGGAAUUGGAAAGGAAUCAGGUCUGUUUAGGCUGGAGAUGUGGAGAUUAUGGGAAGAUGCAAUAAGGUUUUUAAAUGUGAGAAGAAUGUAACAAGGAAGCAAGGAACAAAUUAUUCUCCCUAUCUACUGCAGGCUUUUAAUGUCCUUUUAUUUAAAAGGAUGUUAUUUCUAUUUAAAUAACAUAUAUUAAAGCAUGGGAGAGUAGCCUGAGACAUCUACGGUAUUCAAAGAAGAGGGAUAGUGAAGCAGGGGACCGGAUUGCCUAGAGAAGAUAAGGAGCAAUGUCUAUCACUGGAAGUCUUUAAGAACUGGUUGAACACGUGUUACUUGAGAAUGAUGUGACUAGAGCCAGUCUUGCCUUGGGACAACCGAAGUCUCUUGAAGUGCUUUCAAGCGUUCUGUGAGAGCCAUGUCUUAAAACAUCUUCCGACAAAAUCCUGGUGUUGCUCCAAAGAUUUUCCAUUACACACCUGUAGUUGAUUUUUUUCUUCAAAUUGAGAUCAGCUGAAGGGUCUUCAUGCAGCUAGUUCACAGGUGUUGCUGGCUUACAGGGAAACCUGAUGUGAUAGAAGAGCUGCAAAGUCCCAAUGAACAGCUGUAACACUGCCUUAAUUUGGUUUCUGUCUGAAUGUAAGGCAGGAGAGAACAGCCUGAGUUCUAGAGCAGGUCCACAUAAAAUAAUUUGCAUAGCUGGGGCUAAACCAAUGAUUCAAACAGACAAAGACAACGAACUGGAUUUUUCUGCUUUAUCUGUGAUUCAUGACCAGGACUGAGCAUGCAUCCAGAUGGAGAAAUUACUCAAAGAAGACAAAAAGGACCCCAGAAAAGGAAACAGAACUGCAUAUCAUCUUCAUUUAAAUAAUGAAAGUCAUAAGAAUUAAUAAGUGUACCAAGCUGUUGGAAUAAAAUUGAGAAAAGAAACA
This 1117-nucleotide long non-coding RNA is filed under the name Anas platyrhynchos platyrhynchos (common mallard). RNAcentral describes it as "lncRNA (ENSAPLG00000021851.1)". The record is from RNAcentral. Lineage: Eukaryota; Metazoa; Chordata; Aves; Anseriformes; Anatidae.